This 327-nucleotide ribosomal RNA is filed under the name uncultured eukaryote. RNAcentral describes it as "partial 18S ribosomal RNA". It matches the Rfam family "Eukaryotic small subunit ribosomal RNA", at positions 1470 to 1796 of the family's 1831-position model. The record is from RNAcentral.
CCCUUAGAUGUUCUGGGCCGCACGCGCACUACACUGACGGAUUCAACGAGCUUACAACCUUGGCCGAAAGGUCUGGGUAAUCUUCAAAAUCCGUCGUGAUGGGGAUAGAUUAUUGCAAUUAUUAAUCUUCAACGAGGAAUGCCUAGUAAGCGCAAGUCAUCAGCUUGCGUUGAUUACGUCCCUGCCCUUUGUACACACCGCCCGUCGCUCCUACCGAUUGAAUGGUCCGGUGAAGCGUUUGGACUAUGGUUUUCUGAUGGUCCGCCGUUGGAUUACCGUGGGAAGUUCGUUAAACCUUAUCAUUUAGAGGAAGGAGAAGUCGUAACA